GACGAACGCUGGCGGCGUGCUUAACACAUGCAAGUCGAACGGAAAGGCCCCUUUGGGGGUACUCGAGUGGCGAACGGGUGAGUAACACGUGAGUAACCUGCCCUUGACUUCGGGAUAACUUCAGGAAACUGGGGCUAAUACCGGAUAGGAAUCCUUGCUGCAUGGUGGGGGUUGGAAAGCUUCGGCGGUUUUGGAUGGACUCGCGGCUUAUCAGCUUGUUGGUGGGGUAGUGGCUUACCAAGGCUUUGACGGGUAGCCGGCCUGAGAGGGCGAUCGGCCACAUUGGGACUGAGAUACGGCCCAGACUCCUACGGGAGGCAGCAGUGGGGAAUAUUGCACAAUGGGCGGAAGCCUGAUGCAGCAACGCCGCGUGCGGGAUGACGGCCUUCGGGUUGUAAACCGCUUUCAGCAGGGGCGAAGCUUGUGGUGACGGUACCUGCAGAAGAAGCACCGGCUAACUACGUG
Molecule: ribosomal RNA, 465 nt
Filed under: uncultured bacterium
Lineage: Bacteria
Description: partial 16S ribosomal RNA
Rfam family: Bacterial small subunit ribosomal RNA
Source: RNAcentral